CCGUCCGAGGGGCGCUGCAGCAGGGUUUGCGCCGGUCGAUGCACCGGCACCUGUCAGGCUCGGACGGGCUGUCGCCACGGCACGCAGCCUGCGUCCGUUCCUGACUUCAACGGCGCCCAUUCGCC
RNAcentral lists this non-coding RNA (125 nucleotides) under Pseudomonas sp. OF001. RNAcentral describes it as "SAH_riboswitch". It matches the Rfam family "SAH (S-adenosyl-L-homocysteine) riboswitch aptamer". Lineage: Bacteria; Pseudomonadati; Pseudomonadota; Gammaproteobacteria; Pseudomonadales; Pseudomonadaceae. The record is from RNAcentral.